Long non-coding RNA from Gymnodraco acuticeps, 426 nucleotides. RefSeq lists it as uncharacterized. The transcript is spliced from 2 exons. Lineage: Eukaryota; Metazoa; Chordata; Actinopteri; Perciformes; Bathydraconidae. The record is from RefSeq and is a predicted model, not a curated record.
ACUACGCUGAGAUGCCUGAAACUACCCGUUUAAUUAGGCCUUGCCAAGAAGACUCCCUGAUAACCAUCAACAAAGGCGGAUUUAACAGGAAAGGGGAUUGUUAUGUGCCGUAGUGUUUGUGUGGUCGUGUAUGUGUGUUUCUCUCUCUCUCCCUCUGAUUCCCCAGGUGCAGCCUGAUUGUCCCCAGGUGCAGCCUCUCCCCAGGUGCUCCGAAUUCCUAAUCAGGGCCUCCAUAUAGGCCCGGAGGAAGACUGCAGUGGGCUCUCCGUUUUUCCUCCUCUGGCUGCAUGUGUGCAGACCUGUGUGUUGCCAUUUGAUAGGAGGGGAGCUCCGUGCUAUAAUCGAUGCUGUAUAAUUCUGUGCAAAUUGGCUGGUGAGCCCGUGUUUCUUUUUUGGUCAUUAAACGACUGGUGCGUUACUAAGAGA